Non-coding RNA from Podarcis lilfordi (Lilford's wall lizard), 78 nucleotides. The record is from the annotation of a GenBank genome assembly. NCBI's taxonomy places the organism in Eukaryota, Metazoa, Chordata, Lepidosauria, Squamata, Lacertidae.
GCCUGUGGGAUAGCUCAGUUGGUAGAGCCUGAGACUCUUAAGAUCUCAAGGUCAAGGGUUCGAGCCCCAUGUUGGGCA